This 119-nucleotide ribosomal RNA is filed under the name Ancylostoma duodenale. Lineage: Eukaryota; Metazoa; Nematoda; Chromadorea; Rhabditida; Ancylostomatidae. The record is from RNAcentral.
GGUUGCGACCAUGUCACGAUGACAGCACGCCAUAUCGUCCGAGCUGGCAAGUUUGGCAACGUUGGGCAUGGUUAGUGUCUGGAUCGAAGACGGUUUGGAGAAUUCGGGUACCGUGAGAC